AGGCCGCGUCGCCCAGGUCCAGCAGGUCGGUGAACUCCAGUUUCGCCAGCAGCGGUUCGUCGUCGUCCCGGCCCG
This 75-nucleotide transfer RNA is filed under the name Streptomyces galbus. Its description in RNAcentral is "tRNA-Trp". Lineage: Bacteria; Bacillati; Actinomycetota; Actinomycetes; Kitasatosporales; Streptomycetaceae. The record is from RNAcentral.